This 42-nucleotide ribosomal RNA is filed under the name Opuntia basilaris. RNAcentral's name for it is "partial 26S ribosomal RNA". Lineage: Eukaryota; Viridiplantae; Streptophyta; Magnoliopsida; Caryophyllales; Cactaceae. The record is from RNAcentral. RNAcentral also lists the same sequence under 2 other names.
CGACCCCAGGUCAGGCGGGGCUACCCGCUGAGUUUAAGCAUA